Molecule: small nuclear RNA, 146 nt
Filed under: Cervus hanglu yarkandensis (Yarkand deer)
Lineage: Eukaryota; Metazoa; Chordata; Mammalia; Artiodactyla; Cervidae
Description: U1 spliceosomal RNA (ENSCHYG00000019224.1)
Rfam family: U1 spliceosomal RNA
About the family: U1 is a small nuclear RNA (snRNA) component of the spliceosome (involved in pre-mRNA splicing). Its 5' end forms complementary base pairs with the 5' splice junction, thus defining the 5' donor site of an intron.
Source: RNAcentral
UUGAUAACCUGGCAGGGGAGAUGCCAUGAUCCCAAAGGUGAGGGUGUCCAUCACACUCUGAUGUGGGGACCCCUGCGAUGUCCCCCAGUGUGGGAAGCCCAACUGCAUGACUUGUGGUUGGGGGGGCCAUGUCCACGCUUCCCCUG